GCGGAAGUGGCGAAAUUGGCAGACGCACCAUCUUGAGGGGGUGGCGCUCGUAAGGGCAUAGGGGUUCAAGUCCCCUCUUCCGCA
This 84-nucleotide transfer RNA is filed under the name Ignavibacteriota bacterium. RNAcentral's name for it is "Ignavibacteriae bacterium tRNA-Leu". It matches the Rfam family "tRNA". Rfam says of the family: Transfer RNA (tRNA) molecules are approximately 80 nucleotides in length. Their secondary structure includes four short double-helical elements and three loops (D, anti-codon, and T loops). The record is from RNAcentral. Lineage: Bacteria; Pseudomonadati; Ignavibacteriota.